UAAGAAGGUGGCAAGCGUUGUUCGGAUUUACUGGGCGUACAGGGAGCGUAGGCGGUUGGAUAAGCCCUCCGUGAAAUCUCCAGGCUUAACCUGGAAAGUGCAGAGGGGACUGUUCAGCUAGAGGAUGGGAGAGGAGCGCGGAAUUCCCGGUGUAGCGGUGAAAUGCGUAGAGAUCGGGAGGAAGGCCGGUGGCGAAGGCGGCGCUCUGGAACAUUUCUGACGCUGAGGCUCGAAAGCGUGGGGAGCAAACAGG
Molecule: ribosomal RNA, 253 nt
Filed under: uncultured bacterium
Lineage: Bacteria
Description: partial 16S ribosomal RNA
Rfam family: Bacterial small subunit ribosomal RNA
Source: RNAcentral